UUACGGAAGGCAGCAGUGGGGAAUAUUGGGCAAUGGGCGCAAGCCUGACCCAGCAACGCCGCGUGAGGGAAGAAGGUCUUCGGAUUGUAAACCUCUGUCCUUGGGGACGAAAAAAAUGACGGUACCCAAGGAGGAAGCUCCGGCUAACUACGUGCCAGCAGCCGCGGUAAUACGUAGGGAGCGAGCGUUGUCCGGAAUUACUGGGCGUAAAGGGUGCGUAGGUGGCCAAGCAAGUCAGAUGUGAAAUCCCCGGGCUUAACUCGGGAUCUGCAUUUGAAACUGCAUGGCUUGAGUGCAGGAGAGGAAAGCGGAAUUCCUAGUGUAGCGGUGAAAUGCGUAGAUAUUAGGAGGAACACCAGUGGCGAAGGCGGCUUUCUGGACUGUAACUGACACUGAGGCACGAAAGCGUGGGGAGCAAACAGGAUUAGAUACCCUGGUAGC
RNAcentral lists this ribosomal RNA (441 nucleotides) under uncultured bacterium. RNAcentral describes it as "bacterial SSU rRNA". It matches the Rfam family "Bacterial small subunit ribosomal RNA", at positions 339 to 794 of the family's 1533-position model. The record is from RNAcentral.